GGCGACCAUAGCGAAAGGGAGACACCUGGACUCAUCCCGAACCCAGAAGUUAAGCCUUUCUGCGUCGUGGUUUGUACUGCUAGUAGCGGGAAUACCACAACGUCGCC
This 107-nucleotide ribosomal RNA is filed under the name Candidatus Methanofastidiosum methylothiophilum. The record is from RNAcentral. Lineage: Archaea; Methanobacteriati; Methanobacteriota; Candidatus Methanofastidiosia; Candidatus Methanofastidiosales; Candidatus Methanofastidiosaceae.